CAUGCUCAGCCGUCCAGCCGGCUUUGAAAGGGAGUUAGUUUAUUUUAGACUGAGGACCGUGAGCUGUGGACUUGGUCUGUGAGAUAAAACUGAGCAGUCGUCUGAGCUGCCCUAAGUUGAGGCAUAGAUUAAAUACGAUUCCAAUCAAAAUCUCCAAGCGGUGUUUUAAAAUCAAUAUGCUUUGAAGCCUCAUGUGCAGAAAAGGACUUGGCAAGGACUUCAAAGAAGGUUCUUAAAAUUAAGAGCCACGAAGGGAGGGCUGGGGAGAGAGGCGGUACGGGMGGAGCUCGCCGGGGAGGAAAUCAGGAAGCAAAGCUGUUGAAAGCUCCUGCGGCCUCCCGUGCACAGACACCGGCAAGGGGACAGCCAGGGAGGCCAGGAGCAGCCCRGAGGACAAAAACUGUCAACACAGGAUGGAGCCAGCUCCCCCAAAGAGUGUGGAGGAGGAGGCUGUGAAAGCCGGUKGCAAAAUGGAGCCGUCAUUCAGAAGAAAACCCCAGGUCAGAUGUGCACAAGGCCACACACCCAGCAAGCCCCAGAACACCAAGAUCCUGGAAAAUGACAGAGACUAUAAAAGUCAUUCAUGGGAGAAGAACAAAUGGCUAGUAGUUGCAGAGAUGCAGGUGGCACUUGUCUAAGUAACCCAUGACAUGUGGUGUGGAACACUGACCUUGACUCCCUGAGGCCGAGGAGACCUGGGCACACUCACUUUUGCUGCUUGAGGCAUCAUCCGGGGGCCAGUGUGUUCGGAAAGCAAAAUGGUGAUGUGCAGCAAGAACCAGAAAGAUCUA
This is a long non-coding RNA of Urocitellus parryii (Arctic ground squirrel), 791 nucleotides long. RefSeq lists it as uncharacterized. NCBI's taxonomy places the organism in Eukaryota, Metazoa, Chordata, Mammalia, Rodentia, Sciuridae. The record is from RefSeq and is a predicted model, not a curated record.